GGGCUAGUGGUCUAGUGGUUAUGACGUCACGUUGACAUCGUGGAGAUCGGAGGUCCGAUUCCUCCCUGGCCCA
RNAcentral lists this transfer RNA (73 nucleotides) under Candidatus Diapherotrites archaeon CG11_big_fil_rev_8_21_14_0_20_37_9. Its description in RNAcentral is "tRNA-Val". It matches the Rfam family "tRNA". Rfam says of the family: Transfer RNA (tRNA) molecules are approximately 80 nucleotides in length. Their secondary structure includes four short double-helical elements and three loops (D, anti-codon, and T loops). Further hydrogen bonds mediate the characteristic L-shaped molecular structure. tRNAs have two regions of fundamental functional importance: the anti-codon, which is responsible for specific mRNA codon recognition, and the 3' end, to which the tRNAs corresponding amino acid is attached (by aminoacyl-tRNA synthetases). tRNAs cope with the degeneracy of the genetic code in two manners: having more than one tRNA (with a specific anti-codon) for a particular amino acid; and 'wobble' base-pairing, i.e. permitting non-standard base-pairing at the 3rd anti-codon position. Lineage: Archaea; Nanobdellati; Candidatus Iainarchaeota. The record is from RNAcentral.